AUACGGAGGGGGUUAGCGUUGUUCGGAAUUACUGGGCGUAAAGCGUACGUAGGCGGACUGGAAAGUUGGGGGUGAAAUCGCGGGGCUCAACCCCGGAACUGCCUCCAAAACUUCCAAUCUAGAGAUCGAGAGAGGUGAGUGGAAUUCCAAGUGUAGAGGUGAAAUUCGUAGAUAUUUGGAGGAACACCAGUGGCGAAGGCGGCUCACUGGCUCGAUACUGACGCUGAGGUACGAAAGCGUGGGGAGCAAACAGGAUUAGAAACCCUAGUAGUCC
This 274-nucleotide ribosomal RNA is filed under the name uncultured bacterium. Its description in RNAcentral is "partial 16S ribosomal RNA". It matches the Rfam family "Bacterial small subunit ribosomal RNA", at positions 523 to 796 of the family's 1533-position model. The record is from RNAcentral.